CUGUGCUAGGCGGGGAGUUAGCGGUGCCCUGAACCUGCAAUCCGCUAUAGCAGGGCUGAAUUCCCACCCGAGGCUUGAGCAUCCUCAUCCUGGCUGGCGUAAGCGGCGAUGAUGGUACAAGCCUCACGCAAUAAGAAAAUGCCCAACCCCGUCAGGACCGGAAGGUAGCAGCGGUAAGCAGAUUUCUUAUGUGCCGUGAGAUUCCUUGUCCGGAGCUGGCUGCAAAAGCCGGGUGAGACCAUGCAGGGUCGAAGGUGGGUGCACAG
Molecule: signal recognition particle RNA, 266 nt
Filed under: Calditrichota bacterium
Lineage: Bacteria; Pseudomonadati; Calditrichota
Description: Calditrichaeota bacterium signal recognition particle sRNA large type
Rfam family: Bacterial large signal recognition particle RNA
About the family: The signal recognition particle (SRP) is a universally conserved ribonucleoprotein involved in the co-translational targeting of proteins to membranes. Archaeal SRP consists of a 7S RNA and homologues of the eukaryotic SRP19 and SRP54 proteins. In most bacteria, the SRP consists of a 4.5S RNA and the Ffh protein (a homologue of the eukaryotic SRP54 protein).
Source: RNAcentral